AGGGUUCGAGUUCUGGCUCAGGAUGAACGCUAGCGACAGGCUUAACACAUGCAAGGUCAGGGGCAUCACGGGAGUAGCAAUACAACUGGUGGCGACCGGCGCACGGGUGAGUAACGCGUAUGCAACCUACCUAUCAGAGGGGAAUAACCCGGCGAAAGUCGGACUAAUACCGCAUAAAACAGGGGCACCGCAUGGUGAUAUUUGUUAAAGAAAUUCGCUGAUAGAUGGGCAUGCGUUCCAUUAGGUAGUUGGUCCCCCCGAGGUAACGGCUCACCAAGCCGACGAUGGAUAGGGGAACUGAGAGGUUGGUCCCCCACACUGGUACUGAGACACGGACCAGACUCCUACGGGAGGCAGCAGUGAGGAAUAUUGGUCAAUGGGCGGGAGCCUGAACCAGCCAAGUCGCGUGAAGGAAGAAGGAUCUAUGGUUCGUAAACUUCUUUUGCAGGGGAAUAAAGUGCAGGACGUGUCCUGUUUUGUAUGUACCCUGAGAAUAAGGAUCGGCUAACUCCGUGCCAGCCGCCGC
RNAcentral lists this ribosomal RNA (526 nucleotides) under uncultured bacterium. Its description in RNAcentral is "bacterial SSU rRNA". It matches the Rfam family "Bacterial small subunit ribosomal RNA", at positions 1 to 518 of the family's 1533-position model. The record is from RNAcentral.